AGAGUUUGAUCCUGGCUCAGGAUGAACGCUGGCGGCGUGCCUAACACAUGCAAGUCGAACGAGCGGAGGCCUUCGGACCGAAGCGAGUGGCGGACGGGUGAGUAACGCGUGGGCAACCUGCCUUAUACAGGGGGAUAACAGUUAGAAAUGACUGCUAAUACCGCAUAAGCGCACGGUACCGCAUGGUACAGUGUGAAAAGCCGAGACGGUAUAAGAUGGACCCGCGUCUGAUUAGUUAGUUGGUGGGGUAACGGCCCACCAAGACGAUGAUCAGUAGCCGACCUGAGAGGGUGAUCGGCCACAUUGGGACUGAGACACGGCCCAAACUCCUACGGGAGGCAGCAGUGGGGAAUAUUGCACAAUGGGGGGAACCCUGAUGCAGCAACGCCGCGUGAGUGAAGAAGUAUUUCGGUAUGUAAAGCUCUAUCAGCAGGGAAGAAGAAAGACAGUACCUGAGUAAGAAGCCCCGGCUAACUACGUGCCAGCAGCCGCGGUAAUACGUAGGGGGCAAGCGUUAUCCGGAUUUACUGGGUGUAAAGGGAGCGCAGACGGCAGGGCAAGUCAGAAGUGAAAGCCCGCGGCUUAACCGCGGGACUGCUUUUGAAACUGUUCAGCUGGAGUGCAGGAGAGGUAAGCGGAAUUCCUGGUGUAGCGGUGAAAUGCGUAGAUAUCAGGAGGAACACCGGCGGCGAAGGCGGCUUACUGGACUGUAACUGACGUUGAGGCUCGAAAGCGUGGGGAGCAAACAGGAUUAGAUACCCUGGUAGUCCACGCUGUAAACGAUGAAUACUAGGUGUCGG
This 800-nucleotide ribosomal RNA is filed under the name uncultured bacterium. RNAcentral's name for it is "bacterial SSU rRNA". It matches the Rfam family "Bacterial small subunit ribosomal RNA", at positions 8 to 826 of the family's 1533-position model. The record is from RNAcentral.